This 494-nucleotide ribosomal RNA is filed under the name uncultured bacterium. Its description in RNAcentral is "partial 16S ribosomal RNA". It matches the Rfam family "Bacterial small subunit ribosomal RNA", at positions 28 to 507 of the family's 1533-position model. The record is from RNAcentral.
GACGAACGCUGGCGGCGUGCUUAACACAUGCAAGUCGAACGGUGAAGCGCCUUCCUUUUUGGUGGGUGUGGAUGAGUGGCGAACGGGUGAGUAACACGUGAGUAACCUGCCCCCUUCUUCUGGAUAACCGCAUGAAAGUGUGGCUAAUACGGGAUAUUCUGGGUCUGUCGCAUGAUGGGUCUGGGAAAGAUAUUGUUUCGGUGGGGGAUGGGCUCGCGGCCUAUCAGCUUGUUGGUGGGGUGAUGGCCUACCAAGGCGGUGACGGGUAGCCGGCCUGAGAGGGUAGACGGUCACCAUGGGGCUGAGACACGGCCCAGACUCCUACGGGAGGCAGCAGUGGGGAAUAUUGCACAAUGGGCGCAAGCCUGAUGCAGCGACGCCGCGUGAGGGAUGGAGGCCUUCGGGUUGUGAACCUCUUUCGCCAGUGAAGCAGGCCUGCCUCGUUUGUGGGUGGGUUGACGGUAGCUGGAUAAGAAGCGCCGGCUAACUACGUG